RNAcentral lists this ribosomal RNA (460 nucleotides) under uncultured bacterium. RNAcentral's name for it is "partial 16S ribosomal RNA". It matches the Rfam family "Bacterial small subunit ribosomal RNA", at positions 338 to 795 of the family's 1533-position model. The record is from RNAcentral.
CCUACGGGUGACAGCAGUGAGGAAUAUUGGUCAAUGGACGCAAGUCUGAACCAGCCAUGCCGCGUGCAGGAAGACGGCUCUAUGAGUUGUAAACUGCUUUUGUACGGGGGUAAACGCAGAUACGCGUAUCUGUCUGAAAGUAUCGUACGAAUAAGGAUCGGCUAACUCCGUGCCAGCAGCCGCGGUAAUACGGAGGAUUCAAGCGUUAUCCGGAUUUAUUGGGUUUAAAGGGUGCGUAGGCGGUCGGAUAAGUUAGAGGUGAAAUCCCGAGGCUCAACUUCGGAAUUGCCUCUGAUACUGUUAGGCUAGAGAGUAGUUGCGGUAGGCGGAAUGUAGGGUGUAGCGGUGAAAUGCUUAGAGAUUAUACAGAACACCGAUUGCGAAGGCAGCUUACCAAGCUACUUCUGACGUUGAGGCACGAAAGCGUGGGGAGCAAACAGGAUGAGAUACCCUAGUAGUC